This is a long non-coding RNA of Schistocerca cancellata (South American locust), 779 nucleotides long. RefSeq lists it as uncharacterized. The transcript is spliced from 2 exons. The record is from RefSeq and is a predicted model, not a curated record. Lineage: Eukaryota; Metazoa; Arthropoda; Insecta; Orthoptera; Acrididae.
GACACUUUUGCAUCAACUGUGACUGUCAAAAGCAGCCCAUCAGUUCUUAGAAGAAACAGACCACCAUUGGAUAUUUGUGUCAGCUCUCCUGUUAGAACAGUCAAUGCGUAAACAGAAAAAAUAAACUCAAUCGAUUCGUAGCGUAAAUUGGGGAAAGCGCACAAGACGGCAACUAACACUGCGAAAAAGAGGAAGAGAGGAACAGCUGUAGGCUAAAAACUUGGACGACUUUCAGUACGGGCUGUUCCCACUCGUUGCAAAAUUUAGGUAGGAAACAAUACAGCGCGCCAUCAUAGCACCGUUAUUGGCGCAGACCACAGAUAACACAGACUGCAUGACGUCAUUUUACUGAAACCAACUAGAUGUUGGUUUCAGUGAAAUGAAGUCAUGCAGUCUGUGCUUUCUAUUACGCAUUUAUAAUGCACAAUUUAUGACAUUUUUAUUAUAGAUAAAAUGUUAUGCUCUUUAUGAGAAGCAGAAGUAAUUACAUCUACAUAUGCCCAGAUAAGUCUUGUUUUGUAUCCUGCAGAGUGCAUAAACUGACGAAGAUCUCAGUUGUGAAUAUGAACUACUUUAAAAUACUUGUAGAGAAAUUUCCAUGGGUCGAAAGUUAGAUUCUAUGUUGUUCCUUGGAUGUAAAACUCGAUGAAAACUAACGUUCUAAAAUAACAGACUACAGGAAUUCUCUAACAUAUUUUCUAGUAUAUUAUGUCCAUUGUUUUGGUAUCUGUACAGGAUUAAGCAAAAGCCAUAAAAUAUAAACGCUUAUUAUUGAAAAA